Molecule: ribosomal RNA, 472 nt
Filed under: uncultured bacterium
Lineage: Bacteria
Description: SSU rRNA
Rfam family: Bacterial small subunit ribosomal RNA
Source: RNAcentral
GGGAUGAACGCUGGCGGCGUGCCUAAUACAUGCAAGUCGAACGAGGUCUUCGGACCGAGUGGCGAACGGGUGAGUAACACGUUGGUACCUACCCCGAAGUGGGGAAUAACUGCCCGAAAGGGUGGCUAAUACCGCAUAAUACCGCAAGGUUAAAGCAGUAAUGCGCUUCGGGAGGGGCCUGCGUCCCAUUAGCUAGUUGGUAGGGUAAUGGCCUACCAAGGCGACGAUGGGUAGCUGGAUCGAGAGGUUGACCAGCCACACUGGGACUGAGACACGGUCCAGACACCUACGGGUGGCAGCAGUCGAGAAUUUUUCUCAAUGGGCGAAAGCCUGAAGGAGCGACGCCGCGUGGGGGAUGAAUGGCUUCGGCCCGUAAACCCCUGUCAUUUGUGAACAAAUUGUUUCAUCUAAUACCUGAAAUAUUGAUUGUAACGGAAGAGGAAGGGACGGCUAACUCUGUGCCAGCAGCCGC